AGUAACGCGUGGGCAACCUGCCUCAUACAGGGGGAUAGCAUCGGGAAACUGGUGGUAAAACCGCAUAAGCGCACGGAAACGCAUGUUUUAGUGUGAAAAGGAGAAAUCUGGUAUGAGAUGGACCCGCGUCUGAUUAGCUAGUUGGAGUGGUAAAAGCACACCAAGGCAACGAUCAGUAGCCGGCCUGAGAGGGUGGACGGCCACAUUGGGACUGAGACACGGCCCAGACUCCUACGGAAGGCAGCAG
This 247-nucleotide ribosomal RNA is filed under the name uncultured bacterium. RNAcentral's name for it is "partial 16S ribosomal RNA". It matches the Rfam family "Bacterial small subunit ribosomal RNA", at positions 109 to 354 of the family's 1533-position model. The record is from RNAcentral.